This 414-nucleotide long non-coding RNA is filed under the name Coturnix japonica (Japanese quail). RNAcentral's name for it is "lncRNA (ENSCJPG00005014656.1)". Lineage: Eukaryota; Metazoa; Chordata; Aves; Galliformes; Phasianidae. The record is from RNAcentral.
AUGCAAAGUGAUACCAGUCUUAUUUUUACAGUCAAGCACAUGAGCUUUCAAGGAAGAGAGGAUUCAAUUCUUCAGCCAUGUUUUCAGUCUCAGGAGCUGCUCAUGUGGCGCCAAGGCAUAAUGAGACACUCAUCUAGAAAGAAAUGUAAGUGUGAAAAGUAUCAAAAAACUAAGGGAUUGAAUAGAACUGUGGACUAUUUUCAACCCAGGAGAUCUGUUAUGAAAGUUUAUUUGUGGAGCACAAGAACUGGAGUCCAGAGAAUCCUUUGGCUCAGAGAAGAGAUUUUAAGGAAGAGUGAUCAGGGAAAGGUGCCUAAUAUAUUCUUUCAAGGUGCUCCUACAGCCAUCAGACUUGAAUCCAGUUUUGAUGUCAUCUCAAGAUAUCCAUCUAUUCCAGUUGACAUCAGAGAAUGA